GGCGAACGCUGGCGGCGUGCUUAACACAUGCAAGUCGAACGGAAAGGCCCUGCUUUUGUGGGGUGCUCGAGUGGCGAACGGGUGAGUAACACGUGAGUAACCUGCCCUUGACUUUGGGAUAACUUCAGGAAACUGGGGCUAAUACCGGAUAGGAUCUCCUGGUGCAUGGUGGGGGUUGGAAAGUUUCGGCGGUUGGGGAUGGACUCGCGGCUUAUCAGCUUGUUGGUGGGGUAGUGGCUUACCAAGGCUUUGACGGGUAGCCGGCCUGAGAGGGUGACCGGCCACAUUGGGACUGAGAUACGGCCCAGACUCCUACGGGAGGCAGCAGUGGGGAGUAUUGCACAAUGGGCGGAAGCCUGAUGCAGCAACGCCGCGUGCGGGAUGACGGCCUUCGGGUUGUAAACCGCUUUCGCCUGUGACGAAGCGUGAGUGACGGUAAUGGGUAAAGAAGCACCGGCUAACUACGUG
Molecule: ribosomal RNA, 468 nt
Filed under: uncultured bacterium
Lineage: Bacteria
Description: partial 16S ribosomal RNA
Rfam family: Bacterial small subunit ribosomal RNA
Source: RNAcentral